This 429-nucleotide ribosomal RNA is filed under the name Chloroflexota bacterium. RNAcentral describes it as "Chloroflexi bacterium partial 16S ribosomal RNA". It matches the Rfam family "Bacterial small subunit ribosomal RNA", at positions 355 to 776 of the family's 1533-position model. The record is from RNAcentral. Lineage: Bacteria; Bacillati; Chloroflexota.
UGGGGAAUAUUGCACAAUGGGCGCAAGCCUGAUGCAGCCAUGCCGCGUGUAUGAAGAAGGCCCUCGGGUUGUAAAGUACUUUCAGCGGGGUGGAAGGGAGUAAAGUUAAUACCUUUUCUCAUUUACGUUACCCGCAGAAGAAGCACCGGCUAACUCCGUGCCAGCAGCCGCGGUAAUACGGAGGGUGCAAGCGUUAAUCGGAAUUACUGGGCGUAAAGCUCACGCAGGCGGUUUGUUAAGUCAGAUGUGAAAUCCCCGGGCUCAACCUGGGAACUGCAUCUGAUACUGGCAAGCUUGAGUCUCGUAGAGGGGGGUAGAAUUCCAGGUGUAGCGGUGAAAUGCGUAGAGAUCUGGUAGAAUACCGGUGGCGAAGGCGGCCCCCUGGACGAAGACUGACGCUCAGGUGCGAAAGCGUGGGGAGCAAACAGG